This 467-nucleotide ribosomal RNA is filed under the name uncultured bacterium. RNAcentral's name for it is "partial 16S ribosomal RNA". It matches the Rfam family "Bacterial small subunit ribosomal RNA", at positions 28 to 507 of the family's 1533-position model. The record is from RNAcentral.
GAUGAACGCUGGCGGCGUGCUUAACACAUGCAAGUCGAACGGAAAGGCCCAAGCUUGCUUGGGUACUCGAGUGGCGAACGGGUGAGUAACACGUGGGUGAUCUGCCCUGCACUUCGGGAUAAGCCUGGGAAACUGGGUCUAAUACCGGAUAGGACCACAUUUUGGAUGGUGUGGUGGAAAGUUUUUCGGUGUGGGAUGAGCUCGCGGCCUAUCAGCUUGUUGGUGGGGUAAUGGCCUACCAAGGCGUCGACGGGUAGCCGGCCUGAGAGGGUGUACGGCCACAUUGGGACUGAGAUACGGCCCAGACUCCUACGGGGGGCAGCAGGGGGGAAUAUUGCACAAUGGGCGCAAGCCUGAUGCAGCGACGCCGCGUGGGGGAUGACGGCCUUCGGGUUGUAAACUCCUUUCGCUAGGGACGAAGCGUUUUUGUGACGGUACCUGGAGAAGAAGCACCGGCUAACUACGUG